AUGCUUAUAAUAGUUGUUAAUUUAAACUUUGGUCUCCAUUUGCAGGUUGAGAGUAUAGUAUUAAGCAUCAUUUCGAUGCUUUCUAGUCCAAAUGAUGAAUCACCGGCAAAUAUUGAAGCAGCUAAGGACUGGAGAGAGAAGCAGGAUGAGUUCAAGAAGAAGGUCAGGCGCGCUGUACGGAAAUCCCAGGAAAUGCUCUGA
RNAcentral lists this ribosomal RNA (201 nucleotides) under Triticum aestivum (bread wheat). RNAcentral's name for it is "partial small subunit ribosomal RNA". Lineage: Eukaryota; Viridiplantae; Streptophyta; Magnoliopsida; Poales; Poaceae. The record is from RNAcentral.